Non-coding RNA from Paramuricea clavata, 282 nucleotides. The record is from the annotation of a GenBank genome assembly. Lineage: Eukaryota; Metazoa; Cnidaria; Anthozoa; Malacalcyonacea; Plexauridae.
AUUUCCAACGUUUCUCAAAAGAACUUUUUUUGCAUGAAAUAUUGAUAAUUUUAGCACGUUUUUCUUGAAAUUUGAGUGUUUUCAACGCAAGGAAGGCGUAAUAAUAUAAAUGUAUAGGUACAGAACAGCUAUGGUAUUACGAAUAUAUAGACUGCUGUUUGUAUCAAAUUGUUUUCUUUUUUAUAUUCUGCAAAGAUAAAAACUAUCGAAUUUUUCCAUGAUGUUUACAGAGAAACAUCACAGCUGCCAACCCCCCCCCCCACCCCCAAACGAACAUAUGAC